AUUUCCAAGGUAUAUACAGGACAGAAGGCAUCUAAGAACCCCAGCCUUCUUCAGCAGCAUGGAAGUAUCUGCAGAAAUGGCUUUGCCUGCAUCUUUUUGAGAAUAAGAGAAGCAGAGGAAGGUUAAACAUGCAAAUGAUGCUGCAAAAUUUAUUACUGUAGAUGCAUCUAAAUUCCCAGGCAACUGCUUUAGGGGACACCUGGCUACUCAGAAUCAAAGAAAGUAAGCAUGAAAAGAAACUGGCAGUGUCCCAGUAAACACACUAGUCUUGGGCUCCCUGCCUGAAAGAAAUCAGGCAACAUAGAAAGACGAUUUAAAGGCUCAGUUGCUAACCUCAGCCUGAGGAACCUUGUGUUGGCUGUCCUCACCACGUCUCAAGCUAGGCAUCUCAUGCCACGGAGGAGCCAAUAAAAGACUUCUUCGGAGGACAGUUUUGAACCGGAGAGCCUCCAACAUCUCAGAGAUUCAUGAACACAGUUUCGAAGAACAAUUAGGGGGCUCAAACCCAGUCCAAGGAACAAGAUGAAGAGAGAAAAUGCCAUUCUUCAUGCCAUACCCCUUCCCGUCUGAGAAGCUU
RNAcentral lists this long non-coding RNA (577 nucleotides) under Homo sapiens (human). RNAcentral describes it as "HSALNT0052239". Lineage: Eukaryota; Metazoa; Chordata; Mammalia; Primates; Hominidae. The record is from RNAcentral.